CGAAAAAUGGAUACUUUUCUGAUGACUGACUGACUGACGGUUAUCUGUUGUUCCUCAGUGUCAGGUUGGCCUUCGCUGGAGCACCAUGAUGAGGAAGCCGGUAUCUCACGCCCUCCUGCUGGUGCUCGCCCUCUUCGCCCCCUCCUUCGUGUAUGGGGCGGGAGAGCCGACCUUACCCGACAUCUGGCUGGUCGUCGAAGAUUCUUAUGACUCCAAUGUCAUGGUGACCUUUCCUGACCUGAGAGUCGGCGCAAGCAUGAAAUCGUCCCGGCGCUGU
Molecule: non-coding RNA, 277 nt
Organism: Penaeus vannamei (Pacific white shrimp)
Lineage: Eukaryota; Metazoa; Arthropoda; Malacostraca; Decapoda; Penaeidae
Source: RefSeq, a predicted model, not a curated record